RNAcentral lists this ribosomal RNA (253 nucleotides) under uncultured bacterium. RNAcentral describes it as "partial 16S ribosomal RNA". It matches the Rfam family "Bacterial small subunit ribosomal RNA", at positions 524 to 776 of the family's 1533-position model. The record is from RNAcentral.
UACGAAGGGGGCUAGCGUUGCUCGGAAUCACUGGGCGUAAAGCGCACGUAGGCGGAUUGCUAAGUCAGGGGUGAAAUCCUGGAGCUCAACUCCAGAACUGCCCUUGAUACUGGCGGUCUCGAGUCCGGGAGAGGUGAGUGGAACUGCGAGUGUAGAGGUGAAAUUCGUAGAUAUUCGCAAGAACACCAGUGGCGAAGGCGGCUAUCUGGACGGUUUCUGACGCUAAGACGCGAAAGCGUGGGGAGCAAACAGG